Trichonephila clavipes is the source of this 77-nucleotide non-coding RNA. The record is from the annotation of a GenBank genome assembly. NCBI's taxonomy places the organism in Eukaryota, Metazoa, Arthropoda, Arachnida, Araneae, Nephilidae.
GUCCCUGCAGGGCAAUGAAUGGAUAGCGCGUUGGACUUCUAAUCCAAAGAUGGUGGGUUCGAAUCUCAACUGGGAUG